UCCCUGGUGGCUCAGAGGUUAAAGCGUCUGCCUGAAAUGCAGGAGACCUUGGUUCGAUCCCCGGGUCAGGAA
RNAcentral lists this transfer RNA (72 nucleotides) under Capra hircus (goat). It matches the Rfam family "tRNA". Rfam says of the family: Transfer RNA (tRNA) molecules are approximately 80 nucleotides in length. Their secondary structure includes four short double-helical elements and three loops (D, anti-codon, and T loops). RNAcentral also lists the same sequence under 1 other name. The record is from Rfam by way of RNAcentral. Lineage: Eukaryota; Metazoa; Chordata; Mammalia; Artiodactyla; Bovidae.